This 776-nucleotide ribosomal RNA is filed under the name Paratylenchus dianthus. Its description in RNAcentral is "partial large subunit ribosomal RNA". It matches the Rfam family "Eukaryotic large subunit ribosomal RNA", at positions 343 to 966 of the family's 3401-position model. The record is from RNAcentral. Lineage: Eukaryota; Metazoa; Nematoda; Chromadorea; Rhabditida; Tylenchulidae.
UACAAGUUUCCCCGGAGGGAAAGUUGCAAAGCACUUUGAAGAGAGAGUUAAAGAGGACGUGAAACCGGUAGGAUGGAAACGGAUAGAGCUAGCGAAGUCGCUCGUAUUCAGCCGAAGGCCGGUGGUAUCGGUGUGUCGGGUUGCUAAUCAUGCCUGGCGCGCCUUUUGCUGCCGGUUGAGGUGCAUUUGCGGGCGUUUGCGCUGAGACUUGCGGACCAGCUUCUGGACCCGGGCCUAGAGGCCGUCCUAUGGGCGGAACUUGGGCACGGCGACGGUUGUUUGGACUGCUCGUACCACGACUUGGCCUACGGACCGCGGUGCCGUCGUCGCUCUCUUGAGGUGGCAUCGCAUGCGAUGACCCGCUUGGGGGUGGCGGUUGUGCUGUGUGUUCUCGAGUCGGCUCUCGGUGUAAAAGCUGGUCACCUAUCCGACCCGUCUUGAAACACGGACCAAGGAGUUUAGCGUAUACGCGAGCCAUUGGGUGUUUAAACUCACAGGCACAAUGAAAGUGAAGGCCCAGCCGCUGGGCUGACAUGCGAGUUGGUGGGCUUCGGCCUGCCGAUGCAGCAUGGUCCCGUUUCGGUCGCUUGCGACGGAGCGGAGACAGAGCGUAUGCGCUGAGACCCGAAAGAUGGUGAACUAUUCCUGAGCAGGACGAAGCCAGAGGAAACUCUGGUGGAAGUCCGAAGCGAUUCUGACGUGCAAAUCGAUCGUCUGACUUGGGUAUAGGGGCGAAAGACUAAUCGAACCAUCUAGUAGCUGUUUUCCUUCCGAAA